CAGUAGCCGCGGGAACACGAAGGGGGCUAGCGUUGCUCGGAAUGACUGGGCGUAAAGGGCGCGUAGGCGGCGAUCCAAGUCAGGCGUGAAAUUCCUGGGCUCAACCUGGGGGCUGCGCUUGAUACUUGGUUGCUUGAGUGGGGAAGAGGGUCGUGGAAUUCCCAGUGUAGAGGUGAAAUUCGUAGAUAUUGGGAAGAACACCGGUGGCGAAGGCGGCGACCUGGUCCUUGACUGACGCUGAGGCGCGAAAGCGUGGGGAGCAAACAGGAUUAGAUACCCCCGUAGUCCCUGUCUCUUAUAC
RNAcentral lists this ribosomal RNA (301 nucleotides) under uncultured bacterium. RNAcentral describes it as "partial 16S ribosomal RNA". It matches the Rfam family "Bacterial small subunit ribosomal RNA", at positions 509 to 807 of the family's 1533-position model. The record is from RNAcentral.